GGCUCUGUAGCUCAGUGGUUAGAGCGGGGGAUUCAUAAGCCCUAGGUCGUAGGUUCAAAUCCCACCAGAGCCACC
This 75-nucleotide transfer RNA is filed under the name Fragilariopsis cylindrus. Its description in RNAcentral is "tRNA-Met". It matches the Rfam family "tRNA". Rfam says of the family: Transfer RNA (tRNA) molecules are approximately 80 nucleotides in length. Their secondary structure includes four short double-helical elements and three loops (D, anti-codon, and T loops). Lineage: Eukaryota; Bacillariophyta; Bacillariophyceae; Bacillariales; Bacillariaceae. The record is from RNAcentral.